GUUAAAAAGCUCGUAGUCGGAUUUCAGUAUUAGGCCCUUCUUCCAAUACGGUUGCUAGUGGUCUUUACUUCCUUAACAGAAUCUUUCAUCUCAUUAAUUUGGGGUGUUUGGGGCCUGUUUCUUUUACUUUGAGAAAAUUAGAGUGUUCAAAGCGGGUUUUCGCCUGGAUAUUACUCUUGGAAUAAUAAUAUAGGACUUUGGUUCUUUUUUGUUGGUGACUUAGAACCGAAGUAAUGAUUGAUAGGGACAGUUGGGGUCAUUCGUACUAUGAAGCGAGAGGUGAAAUUCAUGGACCUUUGUAUGACGAACUACUGCGAAAGCAUUUGACUAGGAUGUUCCCGUUGAUCAAGAACGAAAGUUGGGGGAUCGAAGACGAUCAGAUACCGUCGUAGUCUCAACCAUAAACUAUGCCAGCUAGGGAUUGGAGGAAGAUCAUUUUACGUCUCCUUCAGCACCUUAUGAGAAAUCAAAGCAUUUGGGUUCCGGGGGGAGUAUGGUCGCAAGGCUGAAACUUAAAGGAAUUGACGGGAGGGCACCACCAGGAGUGGAGCCUGCGGCUUAAUUUGAUUCAACACGGGAAA
Molecule: ribosomal RNA, 581 nt
Filed under: uncultured marine eukaryote
Lineage: Eukaryota
Description: SSU rRNA
Rfam family: Eukaryotic small subunit ribosomal RNA
Source: RNAcentral